Molecule: ribosomal RNA, 406 nt
Filed under: uncultured bacterium
Lineage: Bacteria
Description: partial 16S ribosomal RNA
Rfam family: Bacterial small subunit ribosomal RNA
Source: RNAcentral
GACGAACGCUGGCGGCGUGCUUAACACAUGCAAGUCGAGGGACCGGCGCACGGGUGAGUAACACGUAUCCCACCUGCCCUUUACUCGGGGAUAGCCUUUCGCAAGAAAGAUUAAUACCCGAUAUAAAGGAUGGGGAUGGGUUCCAUUAGGUUGUUGGUGAGGUAACGGCCCACCAAGCCUUCGAUGGAUAGGGGUUCGGAGAGGAGGGUCCACAGCAUUGGAACGGCGGCCCGGUCCAAACUCCGAGGGAAGGCAGGAGUGGAGAAUAUUGGUCAAUGAGCGCUAGCCUGAACAAGCCAAGUAGCGUGAAGGAUGAAGGCUUAUGGGUCGUAAUCUUCUUUUAUAUAAGAAUAUGUAUUAGAUGAAUAAGGAUCGGCUAACUCCGUGCCAGCAGCCGCGGUAAUAC